This is a non-coding RNA of Acanthosepion pharaonis, 97 nucleotides long. Lineage: Eukaryota; Metazoa; Mollusca; Cephalopoda; Sepiida; Sepiidae. The record is from the annotation of a GenBank genome assembly.
GUUGAAACAUCGGUUCCCGUACGAUCACCGGUUAAGCAACGUCGAGCCUGGUCAGUACCUAGAUGGUUGUCUACUUGGGAAAACCAGAUGCUGUAAG